RNAcentral lists this ribosomal RNA (284 nucleotides) under Hypselonotus bitrianguliger. Its description in RNAcentral is "partial large subunit ribosomal RNA". It matches the Rfam family "Eukaryotic large subunit ribosomal RNA", at positions 65 to 330 of the family's 3401-position model. Lineage: Eukaryota; Metazoa; Arthropoda; Insecta; Hemiptera; Coreidae. The record is from RNAcentral.
CUAACGAGGAUUCCCAGAGUAGCUGCGAGCGAAAAGGGAAGAGCCCAUCGCCGAAUCCCAAGGGCCACGCCCUUAGGGAACUGUGGCGUUUUGGAGAGUCCGAUUAACCCGGGGUCCGUGCAGCGAGUUCAAGUCCAUCUUGAACGGGGCCACGGUCCGUAGAGGGUGCCAGGCCCGUAGAUAACCGGUGCCGGCCUCGGGUGGACUCCUCCUUAGAGUCGGGCUGCUUGAGAGUGCAGCCCUAAGAGGGUGGUAAACUCCAUCUAAGGCUAAAUACAACCACG